This 397-nucleotide long non-coding RNA is filed under the name Vigna radiata. RNAcentral's name for it is "long non-coding RNA (VRAD_LNC012469)". Lineage: Eukaryota; Viridiplantae; Streptophyta; Magnoliopsida; Fabales; Fabaceae. The record is from RNAcentral.
GCUAACUGUGGUUCUUACUUCCCAAAGGCAAUCAAUAAAACCCAAUUGAUUGAAUUUCUUUGUAAUGGAUUAAUACUUCCAAUUUCAUCAUGGCUUCUCAGCAAAUAAUCUUAAUGAUGCAACUGGUACCGAGAAUUAAAGAAUCUCAUGUCCUAACACUAAAGCUACUCCGUAUUAGAAGGGUCCCGAAAGGCACUUUACAUUGUAAAUGUCCUUAUGUUUAAAGAAUACAUUGUGUGGAAAACAUGGAUGUAAGGAUAACAGAGGAUCGGUGCCAGUAACAUGCAUGUUAGUACUGUUGUCCCCAAGUAAGAAUGUGAUCCUAGAGAGAGUUAUCAAUUUUGUGUCUGUACUUUGUCAAGAGUAAACUUUUGGUGGUUGGAAGACUAAAGUGUGG